GAGAGGACGAUCAGCCACACUGGGACUGAGACACGGCCCAGACUCCUACGGGAGGCAGCAGUGGGGAAUCUUGCGCAAUGGGCGAAAGCCUGACGCAGCAACGCCGCGUGGAGGACGAAGGCUUUCUGAGUUGUAAACUCCUUUCAGCAGGGACGAUAGUGACGGUACCUGCAGAAGAGGCACCGGCCAACUACGUGCCAGCAGCCGCGGUGAUACGUAGGGUGCAAGCGUUGUCCGGAUUUAUUGGGCGUAAAGAGCUCGUAGGCGGUUUGAUAAGUCGGGUGUGAAACCUCCAGGCUCAACCUGGAGCCGCCACUCGAUACUGUCAUGACUAGAAUUCGGUAGGGGACCACGGAAUUCCUGGUGUAGCGGUGAAAUGCGCAGAUAUCAGGAGGAACACCAGCAGCGAAGGCGGUGGUCUGGGCCGACAUUGACGCUGAGGAGCGAAAGCGUGGGGAGCGAACAGGAUUAGAUACCCUGGUAGUCCACGCCGUAAACGUUGGGCACUAGGUGUGGGGACUAUUCAACGGUUUCCGUGCCGCAGCUAACGCAUUAAGUGCCCCGCCUGGGGAGUACGGCCGCAAGGCUAAAACUCAAAGGAAUGACG
RNAcentral lists this ribosomal RNA (607 nucleotides) under uncultured bacterium. RNAcentral's name for it is "bacterial SSU rRNA". It matches the Rfam family "Bacterial small subunit ribosomal RNA", at positions 294 to 915 of the family's 1533-position model. The record is from RNAcentral.